CUGCUUCUACUUUCUGUAUGGAGCUGGGAGCGCCUGCCUGUUGGACGCCCGAAGAGCGUCAGGUUUGAUCCUUGGUAUGCAGAUGAACAUGACGAAUUACGGCGCCCCACGUGGGCUUACAAGUGGGAUAUCGUUUCCGAGAUGACGAACGAUGUCAAUCUCAUGUACCAAAAGUACAUUGCCGAGUUGGACACGAUUACGCCUGAGCAGGUAAGGAGGUCAUUACUUUAG
RNAcentral lists this ribosomal RNA (231 nucleotides) under Triticum aestivum (bread wheat). Its description in RNAcentral is "partial small subunit ribosomal RNA". Lineage: Eukaryota; Viridiplantae; Streptophyta; Magnoliopsida; Poales; Poaceae. The record is from RNAcentral.